Molecule: ribosomal RNA, 253 nt
Filed under: uncultured bacterium
Lineage: Bacteria
Description: partial 16S ribosomal RNA
Rfam family: Bacterial small subunit ribosomal RNA
Source: RNAcentral
UACGUAGGGGGCAAGCGUUGUCCGGAAUUACUGGGCGUAAAGCGCGCGUAGGCGGACCUGCAAGUCGAGGGUGAAAGCCCGAGGCUCAACCUCGGAACUGCCUUCGAUACUGCGGGUCUCGAGUCCGGGAGAGGUGAGUGGAAUUCCUAGUGUAGAGGUGAAAUGCGUAGAUAUUCGCAAGAACACCAGUGGCGAAGGCGGCUCACUGGCCCGGUACUGACGCUGAGGUGCGAAAGCGUGGGGAGCAAACAGG